RNAcentral lists this small RNA (753 nucleotides) under Pan troglodytes (chimpanzee). Its description in RNAcentral is "retained intron". The record is from RNAcentral. Lineage: Eukaryota; Metazoa; Chordata; Mammalia; Primates; Hominidae.
AAAAAACCAGCCUGACCAACAUGGUGAAACCCCGUCUCUACUAAAAAUACAAAAACUAGCCAGGGAUGGUGGCACAUGCCUGUAAUCCCAGCUACUCAGGAGGCUGAGGCAGGAGAAUCGCUUGAAUCCAGGAGGCGGAGGUUGCAGUGAGCCGAGAUCAUGCCCCUGCACUCCAGCCUGGGCAACAGAGCGAGGCUCCAUCUCAAAAAAAAAAAAAAAAAGAAAAGAAAAUAUGCCCUCUACCUUCUGAGCCCGAGGAGAAAAAAAAGAAAAUAUGCUCUGUUGUUCUGCCCCUCAGAUUUAUUUUCGUGUUUUUGUAGGAUCAGACAAAGGUGAAAAUGAAGCAAUGGAAUCCUGUAAGUAAGAAGUUUUGUGAUACUUAAGUAGCCUGGCCUGCAUCCCAAAAAUUUAGAUUCUAAAUCUUCUGUGUUCGUUUUUCUGCCUGAGGAAUACUGCUGUGCCAAGUGGCUCCUCAAGGCGAUAGAUUGGGUUGCUCCCUUGCUGUUGGCACGGCCUCUUCACCAGUGUCUACACUCUUUUUCCCCAGCUGGUAAGCGGGCCCCUCAGUGCUACCCCAGUUCCGUCAACUCUGCCAGGACUGUGAUGCUGUUCAACCUUGGCAGCGCUUACUGCCUGAGGAGCGAAUAUGACAAAGCCCGAAAGUGUCUCCACCAGGCGGCUUCAAUGAUCCAUCCUAAAGAGGUGCCCCCUGAGGCCAUCUUGCUGGCAGUCUACCUUGAACUGCAGAAUGGU